This 119-nucleotide ribosomal RNA is filed under the name Lepisosteus oculatus (spotted gar). The record is from RNAcentral. Lineage: Eukaryota; Metazoa; Chordata; Actinopteri; Semionotiformes; Lepisosteidae.
GCUGGCAGCUAUAUCACCCUACAGCUCUCAAAUUGCUACCCACUGAAGAUAAGCACGGUUGAGCCUGGUCAGUACCUGGAUGGGAGACUCCCUUAGAAAAACUAAGGUUGCUGCUGGAA